UUUAAGCAUAUCACUCAGUGGAGGAACAGCAAGCAACUGCGAUUGCUUCAGUAACGGCGAGUGAACUGGCAAUACCUGGCUCAUCCCGAAGUGAAUCCCAUUGGCAACCUGCCCUCUCGGGCAAUUGCGAGCGGCUUUCGUGGAUCUCAGCAGAUGCUGUGGGCAAUGGAGCAGGCAGCAGUGCCAUCGGUGACCUCUCGCACCAGGAAAUGCCCUGGAAUGGCCUACCACAGAGGGAUACUGUCCCCCACGGAGCUGUGUGUGGUUGGUUGCUGGAGGCGUUGCUGCUUGCAUCCAGGAGUAGAGUGGCUUGGGACUGCAGUUUGAAGUGCAAGGUGUAUCCCUUGCAAGGCAGAAUACCAACAUGGGACCGAUAGAGCACAAGUAGAGCGAUUGAAGGAUGCAAAGGACUCUGCAAAGAGGGUUAAAAGUCCCUGAAGCUGCAACAGGAACAGYGGAGAGUGGUGCUGUGGCUCCGCCCAGUUGGCUGCCCCUCCGUCCCAUCAGCCCAGUUCUGGCAGUGCCCAGCCCAAAGUCCCAAUCCGCGGUCUUGGGUGGCGUUGCAACCGCUGAUGGGAUGUGGGCAGAGGAGGCCCUAACCCAAGCAACCUUGGGCCAGCCCAGUGCUGGCUACUGAGCCCUUCCCUGCAGGGAGGGACGCAAUCGUGGCAGCAUUUGGUGGCACCCUGCCUGGCAGGGCCUGAGGUGGAGAGAGAUCCCUGAGUAUCACCUGGCUUGUGCGUGACGUGACCACCCGGAGAGGGAACAGUUCAACCCUGAGCAGAACCAGGCCUGUUGUGUGUGUGGACCUGCCCCACAGGACAUCCGCGCCCUCCAUCGAGGCGAGAGUGGGCAAUGGAAGCCUUCCAUGCUGCGGCAUGGGUUGWGGCUCCAGCAGGACCCGACACACCAGGCUGGGCGAGGGGCGGGUUCCCCGCUGCCGUGGUCUGGUCUUGAAUGCCAAGCGAGUGUGACCCUGGCUGGAACCUGGGGAACCUUUCAGGUAUCCCCAGUCAUCAUUGCCCAGUGAUAAUGGCCUGGAGCCUGUGGCUUGCAUGGUGGCUGCACUGGUUUGCUGGUGGCCCUGUGCAGCCAUUGGCUCCCCAGAUGGUGCAAUGUGCAGGUUGGCAGCUUGAGCUUGGCAAUAUCAGUGCCACUCUCUGCCCGUCUUGAAACACGGACCAAGGAGUCUAUGGAGCUUGCAUGUUGGCUGGUUGACCUGAAGCCCAGAGCAAAAGGGCGUAGUGAAGGCAAUUCUCCCAGAUGGUGCAAAACACCCGAGCCUCCUCUGCCCCUCGGAGAGAGAGAGAGUCCUGGAUCUCACCCGGGGGUUGAAACCCGCUGGCCAACGGGGCAUAUGGACACCUGACCCUCUGUGCCCCUGCGGGACAAUCCCAAGGGAGAGAGAGAGAGACGAUCCAAGGCAGAAUGGCCCCUGGUGUGCAAACAGAGAAGCUGCAUGGGAACCGGUUCUGAAGUCCAGUGGACAGGAUUCUGAGUGCUUGCAAGGUCCAUGGGACCCGAAAGGUGGCGAACUAUACCGUUCCACGACGAAGCCGUGGGAAACUGCGGUGGAGGUCGGUCGCUGUUCUGACGUGCAAAUUGUGUAGCCUGAGUGCGGCAUAGGGGUGAAAGGCCAAUCGAGCCACCUAGUAGCUGGUUUCCCUCGAAGUUUCCCUCAAGGAUAGCUGGGUUCGAAUGCUCCAACCAAGUGGUUGAGUCCGGUAAAGCAACGCAUGAGAGACUUCUGGGGAGGUUCGCCUCCUCGAUCUAUUCUCGAACUGUGAAUGGGCUUGGCAGACCCCAAUGAAGCAUGCUUCUUCACCGAGCCUGAAGGCUGUGUCAAAAGCAGUACUCGAUGGCCGCUGAGCAUGUUCGCAGUGGUGGCAGCCUUGUUGGUUGGUUGGUUGUGCCCAGCACAGCCACACCACACAGGUGAUGGGGACACCCCCUGCCCCCUUCCGGCUCUCUGGACAAACCCUGGGUGGGGCAUGCAUCUCCGUGAGGCUGCCCCCAGGGAGAGAGAUGUGCGAGGGGAGGCGAGGGUGACCGCCCUGAGUUGAGAGAGCAACUGUGCCAAAGGCUGCUGCUUGAGGAGAACUCACGUGCCUAUGUGGGCCAUGAUUGGUAAGCAGUGCUGGCGAUGCGGGAUGCUCCGAGAGUGGGUUUACAGAUCCAGAGUGCUGGCUCAUACCCAGAUCCCACAAAGGAUGUUGCCUGCUAGGGAUAGCAGGACGGUGGCCAUGAAGGUUGGAACCCGCUGAGGAAUGUGUAACAACUCACCUGCCGAAGCGUGCAGCUCCGAAAAUGGAUGGUGCCCAAGUCAGUGAAGCUGAAUUUGCCUUACAGCCCACUGCCACUGUGGCAGUCUUGAGCAGAGCAUUGGCAUGUAGAAAGGACAUGGGAGAUUGCAGUGCCAGUCAGGGUUGCCCCUGGCUGGAGUGUCUUCUGGCGCAGAUCUUGGUUGUAGUAGCGAAUACUCCAUUGGGUGAGGAGUGGACCAAACCCCACUGUAUGCGGUUGAGGACUGGAGUGGAGCAGGUUUCCGCAAUAAACAGCCGUUGAAUGCGGGUCAGCCGACCGUGAGCCAAGUGGUAAAUUCACCGAGCAACCAAAGCUGCCUUUGCCCAUCCAAUCCGUGGGGUGAGUCCCUUUCACCAAAGGGAAGGUGUCUGGCGUGCACACAUCUCAGGGAGAAGGGGAGAGAAGCGGAGGCGAGAGAGGUUUGCCACAUCCCACCUGGUGUGGGCUUGUGGUGUCCCUUCCCUCUCCCUCUGCGCUUUCCCCCCCUGGAGAACAGCGUGGGCAACCGCCGAUGGGCCCCUGGCUUUGGGUGCGGCCUCUGGCAGGAGUGGCAAACAGGCAAGCAAGUGCAACAUUCUGCUGUGAUGGGCUUUGGGGGUGCUAUGGUGGCAACACCCCGUCUGGAGCAAGCAGGCCUUGGGGCAGUGGACCCCCUGAGGAGUUAUCGUUUCCUCCUGAUGGAUGCUCAGUGGGCCAUGGAUUGGCAUGACAGAUGGUGGUGUGGGCCCUCCGCUCAGCAAGGCAGUGUGGCCUCUCACACUGAUGGUGUCUGAAUCAGAGCAGCGAGCAUUAUGUCUCGAAACACCAAACAACCCUGCCCUUCCCCCUCCGUGGGGAGAGGAGGAGAGAGAGAGAGAAGAGAAGUGGUGCACAAACCUGACCCUUGGUGGUCACUGGCUCCAAUGAACAGCCUGUGGGACGCAGUGCCCCUGGUCCCUGGUCCUCGUACCGAAUCACCGCAGCUGGUCUCCUCGGCUAGACGCCGCUUGUCCACGGACGAAAUGCAGCUAAGGGAAGUCGGCAAACUGGCCGUGUACCUUUGGAAGAUACGGUGGCUCCAGAGGCCAAGUCACAGGGCCCUGCCGUGGACCGUGUGGUUGUGGUUGGUAGACCUCCUGUGUGGCGGCUCCCUAAAAGCCUGUCAUGCGGAGAAAGGUUGGCCACCGCCCGCAUGGCCUUCCGUGGUGGGAGGCUGCAGGACCUCGUGCCUGUGGCCUAUCCCUGUGCCUGCCUAGUGGCUCACAUGGAACUGUUGCUGUGCAGGGGAAUCUGACUGUUUAAUUGAAACCCAGCUUUGUGAAGGGACCAGCUGGCUGGUGCCAUGAGGUGACUUCUGCCCAGUGCUCUGAUUGUCACUGCGAAGAGAUUCAGCCAAGCGCGGGUAAACGGCGGGAGUAACUAUGACUCUCUUAAGGUAGCCAAAUGCCUCGUCAACCAAUUAUUGACGCGCAUGAAUGGAUCAACGAGAUUCCUGCUGUCCCUAGUUUCUGUCUGGUGAACCAACAGCCAAGGGAACGGGCUUGGAUGU
This 3832-nucleotide ribosomal RNA is filed under the name Euglenaria clavata. RNAcentral's name for it is "partial large subunit ribosomal RNA". It matches the Rfam family "Eukaryotic large subunit ribosomal RNA", at positions 33 to 2393 of the family's 3401-position model. The record is from RNAcentral. Lineage: Eukaryota; Euglenozoa; Euglenophyceae; Euglenales; Euglenaceae.